AGUAAUAAUAAUAAUUCUAAAUUAAAGGUGAAUGGAGAAAAGCUAAUUUAAUAUGCAAUCUAGAAACGUGUUUGCAUGAUGUGUCCACUAGGUGGCAGUCACACUCCAUCACAGAGGUGUUUAAUAAGAGUGAUUGUGUUGUGAAAAGUGGUGUUGAGUUAUACUCCAGUAUUCGUUAUAAAAAGGAAAUUUCCAAUCUUGGAUGCUGAUUGGUCAAUUCUACAUUCCAAAAUGCACAUUAUGGUAUUCUCUAGUCUAUAUAGUAUAUUAUAUACGUAGUAUAGACCAUCUCAUUUAGCUUGGCUUAUUUAUGAUUAGAUCUCAUGGAAGGUUUACACUUCAUGCAUUUGCUUAAUUUUCUUAGUCAGGACUGUUUUUAAACGUAACUAAAACAUAAUAUGUUGUAAAUAUUGUUAUGGGUUACCAGAAGUAAGUCUUAUUUUACUCUUAAUUAAUGCUUUUCCCCCCCUAUCCGGCCAAACCUUGACCUCUUAUUCACAACGUAUCAGCAUCUCUUGCUUAAAUAAUCACUUUAAUGGGAUGCAGUGAUGUAGAGUUUAGGUGAAAUUCGAACAAAUUAACUAAUGCACCAUUUCUUAAUCUUUCCCUCCAGCAUUUUUCCCUUCACUAAUGACCGAAGCAGACGUGUGUGUGAGUUUUACAGGGCCAAGUCUGUUUUUGAGAUUUGCAGCUCCAAAAAGAUGCUGGAUUCCCGUUUCUUUCGAAAACUCUUUCUAUAUCUCUUGCCUUUAUUUAUGGAUUUAGAUCUAGAUCUUUCUAUUCCAGAUCCGGCUCAUGUCACACACCGUUUUCAGUGUGUUGUCACUAGAGAUCUAGAUCCAGAUGUUGGGUCCCUGGGGCCCUCUGGGGCCCCAACCUCUUCCUCCUCCUCUUCUUCUUCACCUCCUCCUGCAAGCAGUGACCCUUCCACAUUCUCCAGAAUAUGAGUCAGCAGUGCUGCGGCUCCAGCAAACUCCAUCUAUCAUAAGUUGGACCCAGCAGACCCAAAACUGAUUUCAUCAUCACUGCGGGACUGAGUCACACUGCUAAAGAGAGUGAGAGAAGAUCUGCUCGGCCAAAAAUACAUGAAUACUACACACCAGAUGGGAAUAAAGUGGAAAGUAAAUAGGAAAACAGAAUGAAGGACAGAGAUGUAGAAGGUUCAAGAAAACUCACUUUCUGGCCUGACCUGGACACACAGGCAAGCCCACUCCUGUUUUCUUCAGAAUAUGCAAUCUAGUUAGUCAUACUCGCCACAGGCAACAUUAGCUAAUGCAAUCUAUCAGUUUAAUAUGGUUUUAAUCACAUUUUGUUCUAGGUUUCUGGUGAAUGGACCAUGACAUUUAAAAUCCCAAGUCUCAAAAACCGCAAAGACGAGUUAUUUCCAGAGAAGAUGCCACGGUCCACAUCCUCACAGAAUCCCUCUCGCUGGUCCAGGUCUGGAACAUUCCAGAACAUUCUUUUACCUUUUCCAUUUUGAGUGGUGUUGCUGAGUGACGAUCCAAACACGGCCCCUUCUCCACAGAGUCCCCCGUCAGUGUUGCCUAUAAAUGCUGCUGACCCAUUUGACUCCACACACACAUCUGGACUGAGGCAACUCAAUGCCUUUGGGAUGUCCAGGGACAGUGCAGGAAGCAGAGCCCAUGAUGACAUCACCAUCCCUCUGUUCCAGCGCACAUCUGGAAAUGCUCAAGUUUCAGAAAGAGAGAGAGAAUGUGAGGGAAGAGUACAAAUGAGCUUGGCAUAUCUGCACCACCAGCACGGAUAGGGAAACAAGGAGGAGAGAAUAGGAAACGAGAAAGAAAUGGAGGUGGGCUGUAUGAACUAUUUACCCUGUUUAUGGUUUUAACCCCUCCAAAGAAAGUCAAAAGCAAAAGAAAUACAAAAUAGUAUUAAUAUACAUAUUACAAAGGCUCUGGAAAAACUUAUUCUGAUUGGUCAAUCACAGAAUUCAGAACUGUAUAUCAGUCACAAGCAAAUGAUUUCCUUCAUCACAUCUCUCGUAGUCUUUUGACAUAAUGGAAUAAUUUUAACAUUCCCAUGUCCUUUAUUUAUUUGAACUGCUUAUUCUAAUAUUUAAAUAACCACAUGAAUUUGAUUGUAACUGCAUGUUUACAUCUUUACUUUUUCCAAAUUAUAUUGAAUAUUAUAUUGAAUUAUAUUUUUGGCAACAGAAAUCCAGCUACAUGAAUGCUUCCUGUUAGGAUUAAUGUUGGAAAAAAUUCCAGUACAGCUGCUGGCUUAAAUUAUAUUAAACUGGCUUAAAAAAAAAAAAAUCAUUGCAUAGUUUUAAUAUUAAUUGCAUAUAAUAUUACACAAUCUGAGGACGAAUAUCGACUCGUGACAGGAAGCAAAGAUGCCUCCUCCAAAUUCUCAGGGCUGAUUCUGUUCCUUAGACUACAGGCGGACUGAUGCAAUGAUGAUUCCAGAACUAAAACCCAGGUCUGGAGUGUCUCGGAGUGGUGGGUGGGGGGAAUUCUGACAGCUGGCCGGAGGAAAUCCUGUUUCCAGUUGACACUUUUUUUUUUUCUCACCUCCCCAGACAUGCACAAACUUCUGGUCCUUUUGUACUGAUCUCUGUUUGCUUUAUCAUAAUUUUCUUCUGACCAAAGUUGCAAUCGUUCACAAAAUGUGACAAAUUCAUAUGCAGCCAAAAGUACUGCAGUACUGUU
Molecule: long non-coding RNA, 2672 nt
Organism: Carassius carassius (crucian carp)
Lineage: Eukaryota; Metazoa; Chordata; Actinopteri; Cypriniformes; Cyprinidae
Exons: 6
Source: RefSeq, a predicted model, not a curated record